Molecule: long non-coding RNA, 998 nt
Organism: Salvia splendens (bonfire salvia)
Lineage: Eukaryota; Viridiplantae; Streptophyta; Magnoliopsida; Lamiales; Lamiaceae
Exons: 3
Source: RefSeq, a predicted model, not a curated record
AUCUACCAAAAUCAGUCCUUAAGUAUAGAAAUACAGACCAUAUCUAGACCGUCAGAUCUGGAGAUUAAUGGCUAAGAUCUGGAGUGACUCCUCGUUUUAUAUGGGUCAUAAUAAGGCCGAUCUAUGUCAUGUUAGGGGUAAUUUAGGAAACAAAAAUAUUAAUAACUGUCGUUCCGUUUUUAGGCCCUGAUUAAUUGGGAUUGGGAGUAAUUACUGCACACGUUCCAUUCUAUUUCACUCUCUUUCAACAAAAACUCUCCAAUCUCCCUCAAAUCUUCUUCUUCUACCACCAAAUCAACAAAAAAUCAUUCAACAAAAAAUCGUCUCGGCCUCUCAAAAUCGUCGUCUCCUCCACAGAUUCGUCUUCUCCUCCACAAAAAUGUCGCCUCCUCAAAAACCCUAUUCCUACUCCAGAAAAUCGGCGGAGAAGGGGAACCAAAACCUACUUUACCACCAAAUCAACAAAAACCCUUCUCCAAAUCAACAAAAACCCUUCUCCAAAUCAAAGCGUCUCCACCUCAAAACCGUUGUCUCCUCCACAAAAUCGUUGUCUCCACCAGAAAAUCGAAUCCUCCACGAUUUUGGAAGACGGUGAACCAAAAGCCUACUUCAACAAUGGUGGACACUCGAGCAUCUGGAUCUGCUAGUCAUGACGGAAAAAUGUAUCAGAGAACGAACGUGAAGAAGAAGAUUUUGCGGAUCCCUAAAGCACCGAAAUAGGACGUUCUUUUGUAAGUAUUUAACAAUGAUUGGUUGUCACAAUCAAUGCAAAUCAGUGAUCAACGCACCUAUUCAGAGGUUGAAAAUGAGUUGGACAACGACAGACAAUGUUGAUGACAACAGGGUUUAUUUGCUUAGACACCUUGAAGUCUACAUGGGUGAAAGAGAGGGUCAAUGACUUUUGAAUGCUUUCCUCUUGUUUUUUGUAGACGAUAGCCCAUGCGAUGAAUAUUACUCGAUACAUUGGGUCACAAUAAAUCAAUAUUUGAGUUAUAGAA